UACGUAGGUGGCAAGCGUUGUCCGGAUUUACUGGGCGUAAAGAGCGCGCAGGCGGUCGUUCAAGUCGAGUGUGAAAGCCCCCGGCUCAACUGGGGAGGGUCACUCGAUACUGAUCGACUCGAAGGCAGAAGAGGGAAGCGGAAUUCCCGGUGUAGUGGUGAAAUGCGUAGAUAUCGGGAGGAACACCAGUGGCGAAAGCGACUUCCUGGACCAAUACUGACGCUGAGCCGCGAAAGCCAGGGGAGCGAACGGG
Molecule: ribosomal RNA, 253 nt
Filed under: uncultured bacterium
Lineage: Bacteria
Description: partial 16S ribosomal RNA
Rfam family: Bacterial small subunit ribosomal RNA
Source: RNAcentral